GUCUAGGUCCUUGAAUCAAUAGCUGUUGGAGGUUGAGCUUCCCAUAAGAUUGAACAAAUUUUACUUUAGACACUAAGGAAGUUGUACUAUCAACUUUCAUUGCCUUCCCCACCAAGUUUUCUAACCCCAUUUGGUGUAUAAUCGAUUGUAGUAACCAAUAAGCAGUUAGGGAACCUAACCUAUAUAAUCUUACUAACAUUGGUUUUUCAUGAGUGGGGGAAAGGUCCAAUGGUCUAAUAGCC
This 242-nucleotide long non-coding RNA is filed under the name Carica papaya (papaya). Its description in RNAcentral is "long non-coding RNA (CPAP_LNC010774)". The record is from RNAcentral. Lineage: Eukaryota; Viridiplantae; Streptophyta; Magnoliopsida; Brassicales; Caricaceae.